GACGAACGCUGGCGGCGUGCUUAACACAUGCAAGUCGAACGGAAAGGCCCUGCUUUUGUGGGGUGCUCGAGUGGCGAACGGGUGUGUAUCACGUGAGUAACCUGCCCUUGACUGUGGGAUAACUUCAGGAAACUGGGGAUAAUACAGGAUAGGAGCUCCUGCUGCAUGGUGUGGGUUGGAAAGUUUCGGCGGUUGGGGAUGGACUAGCGGGUUAUCAGCUUGUUGGUGGGGUAGUGGCUUACCAAGGCUUUGACGGGUAGCCGGCCUGAGAGGGUGACCGGCCACAGUAGUACUGCGAGACGGCCCAGACUCCUACGUGAGGCAGCAGUGGAGAAUAUUACACAAUGAGCGGAAGCCUGAUACGACAGCGCCGCGUUCGGGAUGACGGCCUUCGGGUUAUGAACCGCUUUCGCCUGAGACGAAGCGGGAGUGACGGUAAUGGGUAAAGAAGCACCGGCUAACUACGUG
This 468-nucleotide ribosomal RNA is filed under the name uncultured bacterium. RNAcentral describes it as "partial 16S ribosomal RNA". It matches the Rfam family "Bacterial small subunit ribosomal RNA", at positions 28 to 507 of the family's 1533-position model. The record is from RNAcentral.